ACAGGAGCACGAUUCUACGGGAGGCAGCAGUGGGGAAUUUUGGACAAUGGGGGCAACCCUCGCUAUCUCAGCCAUGCCGCGUGAGUGAAGAAGGCCUUCGGGUUGUAAAGCUCUUUCAGCCGGGAAGAAAACGCAUGGGUUAAUACCCUGUGUGGAUGACGGUACCGGAAUAAGAAGCACCGGCUAACUACGUGCCAGCAGCCGCGGUAAUACGUAGGGUGCGAGCGUUAAUCGGAAUUACUGGGCGUAAAGCGUGCGCAGGUGGUUUGUUAAGAUAGGCGUGAAAUCCCCGGGCUCAACCUGGGAACUGCGUUUAUGAUUGGCAGGCUAGAGUAUGGCAGAGGGGGGUGGAAUUCCACGUGUAGCAGUGAAAUGCGUAGAGAUGUGGAGGAACACCGAUGGCGAAGGCAGCCCCCUGGGCCAAUACUGACGCUCAUGCACGAAAGCGUGGGUAGCAAACAGGAUUAGAUACCCUGGUAGUCCACGCCCUAAACGAUGUCAACUAGGUGUUGGGAGGGUAAAACCUUUUAGUACCGGAGCUAACGCGUGAAGUUGACCGCCUGGGGAGUACGGCCGCAAGGUUAAAACUCAAAGGAAUUGACGGGGACCCGCACAAGCGGUGGAUGAUGUGGAUUAAUUCGAUGCAACGCGAAAAACCUUACCUACCCUUGACAUGUCCGGAAGCCCUUAGAGAUUUGGGUGUGCUCGAAAGAGAGCCGGAACACAGGUGCUGCAUGGCUGUCGUCAGCUCGUGUCGUGAGAUGUUGGGUUAAGUCCCGCAACGAGCGCAACCCUUGUCGUUAAUUGCCAUCAUUUAGUUGGGCACUUUAACGAGACUGCCGGUGACAAACCGGAGGAAGGUGGGGAUGACGUCAAGUCCUCAUGGCCCUUAUGGGUAGGGCUUCACACGUCAUACAAUGGUCGGUACAAAGGGUUGCCAACCCGCGAGGGGGAGCUAAUCCCAGAAAGCCGAUCGUAGUCCGGAUCGUAGGCUGCAACUCGCCUGCGUGAAGUCGGAAUCGCUAGUAAUCGUGGAUCAGCAUGUCACGGUGAAUACGUUCCCGAUCACAGUAUGA
RNAcentral lists this ribosomal RNA (1076 nucleotides) under uncultured Dechloromonas sp. RNAcentral's name for it is "bacterial SSU rRNA". It matches the Rfam family "Bacterial small subunit ribosomal RNA", at positions 324 to 1388 of the family's 1533-position model. The record is from RNAcentral. Lineage: Bacteria; Pseudomonadati; Pseudomonadota; Betaproteobacteria; Rhodocyclales; Azonexaceae.